This 494-nucleotide ribosomal RNA is filed under the name uncultured bacterium. RNAcentral's name for it is "partial 16S ribosomal RNA". It matches the Rfam family "Bacterial small subunit ribosomal RNA", at positions 28 to 507 of the family's 1533-position model. The record is from RNAcentral.
GACGAACGCUGGCGGCGUGCUUAACACAUGCAAGUCGAACGGAAAGGCCUGCUUUCCCUUGUGGAUUGCGGGUACUCGAGUGGCGAACGGGUGAGUAACACGUGAGUGAUCUGCCCCCAACUUGGGUAUAAGCCUGGGAAACUGGGUCUAAUUCCCGAUAGGACUGCAGGGUGGUGCCUGUGGUGGAAAACGAUUUUCUAGUGGUUGGGGAUGAGCUCGCGGCCUAUCAGCUUGUUGGUGGGGUAAUGGCCUACCAAGGCGGCGACGGGUAGCCGGCCUGAGAGGGUGGACGGCCACAUUGGGACUGAGAUACGGCCCAGACUCCUACGGGGGGCAGCAGUGGGGAAUAUUGCACAAUGGGCGGAAGCCUGAUGCAGCGACGCCGCGUGGGGGAUGACGGCCUUCGGGUUGUAAACUCCUUUCGACCGCGAGGAAGCCACCUGGUUGGAAGGGUGGUGACGGUAGUGGUAGAAGAAGCACCGGCUAACUACGUG